RNAcentral lists this ribosomal RNA (497 nucleotides) under uncultured bacterium. Its description in RNAcentral is "partial 16S ribosomal RNA". It matches the Rfam family "Bacterial small subunit ribosomal RNA", at positions 28 to 507 of the family's 1533-position model. The record is from RNAcentral.
GAUGAACGCUGGCGGCGUGCCUAAUACAUGCCAGUCGAGCGAACGGACGAGAAGCUUGCUUCUCUGAUGUUAGCGGCGGACGGGUGAGUAACACGUGGAUAACCUACCUAUAAGACUGGGAUAACUUCGGGAAACCGGAGCUAAUACCGGAUGAUAUUUUGAACCGCAUGGUUCAAAAGUGAAAGACGGUCUUGCUGUCACUUAUAGAUGGAUCCGCGCUGUAUUAGCUAGUUGGUAAGGUAACGGCUUACCAAGGCAACGAUGCAUAGCCGACCUGAGAGGGUGAUCGGCCACACUGGAACUGAGACACGGUCCAGACUCCUACGGGAGGCAGCAGUAGGGAAUCUUCCGCAAUGGGCGAAAGCCUGACGGAGCAACGCCGCGUGAGUGAUGAAGGUCUUCGGAUCGUAAAACUCUGUUAUUAGGGAAGAACAUAUGUGUAAGUAACUGUGCACAUCUUGACGGUACCUAAUCAGAAAGCCACGGCUAACUACGCG